RNAcentral lists this long non-coding RNA (1365 nucleotides) under Zonotrichia albicollis (white-throated sparrow). Its description in RNAcentral is "lncRNA (ENSZALG00000006431.1)". Lineage: Eukaryota; Metazoa; Chordata; Aves; Passeriformes; Passerellidae. The record is from RNAcentral.
AUGGAAGCGUGGCUUGGCAGUGUGAUAAACAACCAUCAGAGGACAGCUUCUCCCAGCCGGUGUCGGGCACACCUUGCCGUGCUCAGCUCUCUGGACUCCUCAGCUGAGCAUUUAGUGAGCAGCACAUCAAACUCUUUGCUCAGCUGCUUCAGGUCAUUUGCAGUAAUUCUGCUUCCUUCCUUGGGAUGCACUUCUUCCUCUUCAAGGUGUGAGCCACAGAGAGAGAGAGAGAGAGCAGCAAUCCCUGCUGGAAAUGGCUUGGGAAUACCGGGGAGGAAGCAGGAGCAUUGGUGAGAUUUUGAGGACGGAAGAGUGAAAGAUGAAGUGCUAAAUCUGAGACUGUGGCUGCUAAAAUGAGCUGCUGAACACCAGAGAGCAAGAAUUACUGCAUUUCCUGAGAGUGCUGCAGAACCUCUGAGCCUUUUAUUUCCAGUAGUAGAAACCCACAUGGGUCUCAGGAAGUGUUAAAAUGACAGGUUUUGAAAGAACAGUUUACCAUCAAGGCAAAAAAUAUAUUUUAUAUGUAUAAAAUAGGUAUCUUAUGCUCUGUGUUUAUCUGUUUUCCCCAUUCCAGGUCCCCUGAGCAGAUAAUGCUGCAGUCUCAGCUCCCUCUCCCUCCACCCUGGCUGCUGUGCUGAACAUCAUUUCAAAAGAGCACAGCUGGGUGCUGGACUGUAAUUUCUCAUGCAGCUCAGAUCAAGUCCAUUAGUUUAUUUGAAGGUUAGGACCAAGACCAUGGAGGUGCACGAGGAGCUAAUAGACAGACCGGUGUUCCUGCUGUGCUCACGGGGGCUUAAACCAGGGAGAAAAUAGUCAGGCACAUCCAUAUUAUUUUCACCUUUUGCUUCACCAUUUGCAGCAGUCUCAUUCAUAAAUGACAAAGAAACAGCUCCCUGCUGUGAGGUCCUCAUACCACAGAGAGCUGUAAUGAGUUUGUAACGAGAUGGAGAUAAGGAAGGUUUUUUUGUGAUUACUCAGACAAAUCUCUGAGUGCAAAUCAGAGGGGUAUGUCUUUCCAUCACUCUCCAUGGCUUAAACAUCUGAGGAUAGUUAAGGAAUUCUCAUGGCAUUUUGUAAGAAGAACUCAGUAAGACAAAAAUGUUCUAAAUGCAUCUUUAUGGAUUUCUUGCCUUCAUUGUAUGUCAGAAUCUUUUGUAAUUUGACAGCCACCAGCAGUGAUUAAUGGCUGGCAAUAUGGCUGGGGGCAAUGUGUGUCUCAAAGUCAGUAUCAGGGAAGCCUCUGUGAUCUGGGAAGUCUUUGGCUCUGGAACUGUCUCCUUGCAAAAUCAGAAACAAGUGUUUUGCCUGUGUGCUCCGUGAAGAGCUCCAAAUAAAUAGCUGGAAUAUUAAUGAAGAUGAGAGUGA